This 386-nucleotide ribosomal RNA is filed under the name uncultured eukaryote. Its description in RNAcentral is "partial 18S ribosomal RNA". It matches the Rfam family "Eukaryotic small subunit ribosomal RNA", at positions 592 to 976 of the family's 1831-position model. The record is from RNAcentral.
CAAUAGCGUAUAUUAAAGUUGUUGCAGUUAAAAAGCUCGUAGUUGGAUUUUUGGAUCGAACGCUUCGUCCGCCGCUGUGCGGUGUGUACUGAGGUUUUGUUUCGAUUCAUCCUUGCAGGGAAGCGAGUUCGAGAUUAAUUUGUCGGCUCGGGGAACUGCAUCUUUUACUGUGAAAAAAUUAGAGUGUUUAAAGCAGGCAUUUUGCUGUGAAUACAUUAGCAUGGAAUAAUAACAUAGGACUUUGGUUCUAUUUUGUUGGUUGGAGGCCAAGGUAAUGAUUAAUAGGGACAGUUGGGGGUAUUCAUAUUUAAUUGUCAGAGGUGAAAUUCUUGGAUUUAUGAAAGAUGAACUCAUGCGAAAGCAUUUACCAAGGAUGUUUUCAUUAA